UCCCGUUUGUCACCGGCAGUCUCGCAUGAGUCCCCAGCAUUACCUGAUGGCAACAUGCGACGAGGGCUGCGCUCGUUGCGCCACUUAAGGCAACACCUCACGGCACGAGCUGACGACAGCCAUGCAGCACCUGUGCAGGCUCCCGAAGGAGCACCGGCUUUCACCGGUUUCACCCUGCAUGUCAAGCCCUGGUAAGGUUCUUCGCGUUGCGUCGAAUUAAGCCACAUGCUCCGCCGCUUGUGCGGGUCCCCGUCAAUUCCUUUGAGUUUUAGCCUUGCGACCGUACUCCCCAGGCGGGGCACUUAGUGCGUUAGCUACGGCACGGAACCCGUUGAUAAGGCCCCACACCUAGUGCCCAACGUUUACGGCGUGGACUAC
This 378-nucleotide unclassified non-coding RNA is filed under the name uncultured Actinomycetes bacterium. RNAcentral describes it as "uncultured actinobacterium contains 16S-23S intergenic spacer region". Lineage: Bacteria; Bacillati; Actinomycetota; Actinomycetes. The record is from RNAcentral.